UCCGUUGGUGAACCAGCGGAGGGAUCAUUACCGAGUUUACAACUCCCAAACCCCCUGCGAACCGUACCCAUCGUUGCCUCGGCGGGACCGCCCCGGCGCCCUCGCGGCCCGGACCAGUGCGCCCGCCGGAGGACCCAGACUCUCCUUCAGUGGAUAUUUCUCGAGUACAGUGGGCGAAUGAAUCAAAACUUUCAACAACGGAUCUCUUGGCUCUGGCAUCGAUGAAGAACGCAGCGAAAUGCGAUAAGUAAUGUGAAUUGCAGAAUUCAGUGAAUCAUCGAAUCUUUGAACGCACAUUGCGCCCGCCAGCACUCUGGCGGGCAUGCCUGUCCGAGCGUCAUUUCAACCCUCGAGGCCCCCCGCGGGACUCGGUGUUGGGGGUCCACGGCCCUGUGCCGCCCCCUAAAUGCAGUGGCGACCCGGCCGCCGCGUCCCCUGCGCAGUAGCUCAUCGAGAACCUCGCAACGGGAACGGCGGCCGCGGUCACGCCCGACACGGCGCGCCCCUGGGCGCCCGAACCCCACUGAGUUGACCUCGGAUCAGGUAGGGAUACCCGCUGAACUUAAGCAUAUCAAUAAGCGGAGGA
RNAcentral lists this ribosomal RNA (586 nucleotides) under Ophiocordyceps agriotis (nom. inval.). RNAcentral describes it as "eukaryotic LSU rRNA". The stretch from base 187 to 340 matches the Rfam family "5.8S ribosomal RNA". Lineage: Eukaryota; Fungi; Ascomycota; Sordariomycetes; Hypocreales; Ophiocordycipitaceae. The record is from RNAcentral.